CCGUGAGGGAAAGUUGAAAAGAACUUUGAAGAGAGAGUUCAAAAGGGCGUGAAACCGCUUAGAAUAAAACGGACGGAGCCGUCGGUGGCCUUCCGGAAUCAGUCGUACGACGCGCGAUGGCGCGUUUUGUUGGAGCGAAAGUCUGGCGGGCGCGUUGGGAGAUAGUAGCGUUCGUUCGAUGCAUUUCCGGAGGGUAUGCGCCGCGACCGAUGCGAGAGGCUAGCGAAUCCGGCGAUUUGAGGUGGAAACCCCUCACGGGGUCUUCAUUACCAGUUCAUCGGCUUGUAAUCGCUAGACGUAAGCAUCGAGCGCGUAAUAAAACAGACACUGGCUAAUGUGCUCGCUUAAGCGGUGGAUAGUUGGCGGAAUUUGCUGUACCUGCUCGCAGGUUAUGCGGAUUCCCGUUCGGCUUUUGAAGCCGCGGGCGAGUUAUAGUGUCCCGGCGUCAGCGGCGUCCGAGACGGUCAACCGUCCGACCCGUCUUGAAACACGGACCAAGGAGUCUAACGUACGCGCGAGCUAAUGAGUGGCAAACUCAUAAGCGCAAUAAAAGUAAAAGGUACGAUCCCGGGGUAUUUACUUAUCCCGGGCGCAGUACCGUCCCAUCCUGAUCGCUCGUCGGUAGGGUGGAGAUCGAGCGCCUACGUUGGGACCCGAAAGAUGGUGAACUAUGCCUGAGCAGAGCGAAGCCAGAGGAAACUCUGGUGGAGGUUCGUAGCGGUUCUGACGUGCAAAUCGAUCGUCAGAC
RNAcentral lists this ribosomal RNA (748 nucleotides) under Longidorus hyrcanus. RNAcentral describes it as "partial large subunit ribosomal RNA". It matches the Rfam family "Eukaryotic large subunit ribosomal RNA", at positions 351 to 910 of the family's 3401-position model. Lineage: Eukaryota; Metazoa; Nematoda; Enoplea; Dorylaimida; Longidoridae. The record is from RNAcentral.